CCUGGUGAUCCGAGCGUAGUGGACCCACCCGUUCCCAUCCCGAACACGGUCGUGAAACACUUCAGCGCUGACGAUACUAGACUGGAGACGGUCUGGGAAAAUAAGCCAUUGCCUGGG
Molecule: ribosomal RNA, 117 nt
Filed under: bacterium
Lineage: Bacteria
Also listed under: 2 other names
Source: RNAcentral